GACCCAGGCAGCUCCCGAGCCGAGGUGCGGCGGAGAGCCCGGGGAUCAAAGGCAUCUGAAGAGAAAGGGGAAGCGGGCGCACUGCCGGGCUGGCCUGGCCCCCUGCGGGCCGCGCUGACCUGGGAGGAUGGGGGUGGCGGGCGGGAACUCCGGGAUUUCCCCCUUGCUAGGGAUCCGGCUUCGGCCGGCGCCCGUCCCAGGUAAGCCCGGGUCUCCGCAGCUCUCCGGACUAGAUAGACGAGCCUGACUGCGGGGUGGAGACCCGAGGUCAGCCCGCGAUUGAGUCCUCGUCUGCGCGGUGGCCGCUAGGCGCCGGGGCGCAGGAGCUGCGGGGAGGCGCAUCUCCUGGAGAUCCGAUCAGCGCUCCUCUAUCCAGUACGCGUUUGAAUCCCGCCGCCCUGUGCAGGAUGGGCGCAGACUCCGGCUCGGUGGGGACCCGGCGGCGAAUUCGGGCCGGGCUUCGCCUGAGGUGAGCCCCGUUAUUCCGGUCCCUCCGGCGGCGGGCAGCUGUGUCCCGCUUCGUACGCACACAGAGGAGCUUCCCGGCUCGGGAGAAACCGCUGCUGGCAACCGGAGGCCCCCGGACGCGAGCGCCCCUGUUCUCGGUUGGUGUAAGCAUCCCUUGCAAGCCGCGGAUUUUCUGAGUGCUUGAAAUUCGAGUUCCUCGUUAUUUUCUUUCACUGAUUUUGUUUAUUGAUCCGGGGAUCUUAAUAUCGAUCUCCCCAUUUAACGCAUCCCCUCCAUCCCAUCCGUCCCCUCAA
RNAcentral lists this long non-coding RNA (761 nucleotides) under Rattus norvegicus (Norway rat). RNAcentral's name for it is "long non-coding RNA NONRATT006349". The record is from RNAcentral. Lineage: Eukaryota; Metazoa; Chordata; Mammalia; Rodentia; Muridae.